GACAGAGGGUGCAAACGUUGCUCGGAAUCACUGGGCGUAAAGGGCGUGUAGGCGGGAAGGAAAGUCAGAUGUGAAAUCCCCCAGGCUCAACCUGGGAACUGCAUUUGAAACUCCCUUUCUUGAGUACCGGAGAGGAAAGUGGAAUUCCUGGUGUAGAGGUGAAAUUCGUAGAUAUCAGGAGGAACACCAGUGGCGAAGGCGGCUUUCUGGACGGUAACUGACGCUGAGACGCGAAAGCGUGGGGAGCAAACAGG
This 254-nucleotide ribosomal RNA is filed under the name uncultured bacterium. Its description in RNAcentral is "partial 16S ribosomal RNA". It matches the Rfam family "Bacterial small subunit ribosomal RNA", at positions 524 to 776 of the family's 1533-position model. The record is from RNAcentral.